AGUGAACGCUGGCGGUAGGCCUAACACAUGCAAGUCGAACGGCAGCACAGUAAGAGCUUGCUCUUACGGGUGGCGAGUGGCGGACGGGUGAGGAAUACAUCGGAAUCUACUUUUUCGUGGGGGAUAGCGUAGGGAAACCUACGCUAAUACCGCAUACGACCUACGGGUGAAAGCAGGGGAUCUUCGGACCUUGCGCGAUUGAAUGAGCCGAUGUCGGAUUAGCUAGUUGGCGGGGUAAAGGCCCACCAAGGCGACGAUCCGUAGCUGGUCUGAGAGGAUGAUCAGCCACACUGGAACUGAGACACGGUCCAGACUCCUACGGGAGGCAGCAGUGGGGAAUAUUGGACAAUGGGCGCAAGCCUGAUCCAGCCAUACCGCGUGGGUGAAGAAGGCCUUCGGGUUGUAAAGCCCUUUUGUUGGGAAAGAAAAUCAGCAGGUUAAUACCCCGCUGUUCUGACGGUACCCAAAGAAUAAGCACCGGCUAACUUCGUG
RNAcentral lists this ribosomal RNA (492 nucleotides) under uncultured bacterium. Its description in RNAcentral is "partial 16S ribosomal RNA". It matches the Rfam family "Bacterial small subunit ribosomal RNA", at positions 29 to 507 of the family's 1533-position model. The record is from RNAcentral.